Long non-coding RNA from Daktulosphaira vitifoliae (grape phylloxera), 1300 nucleotides. RefSeq lists it as uncharacterized. The record is from RefSeq and is a predicted model, not a curated record. NCBI's taxonomy places the organism in Eukaryota, Metazoa, Arthropoda, Insecta, Hemiptera, Phylloxeridae. The transcript is spliced from 3 exons.
AUCGUUAUCGAACAAAGUCGAUUUCUUUUGUAAAAACAUGCCGCGCGCGCUGAAAUAACAAAAAGGGCGCAAGUCUGCUCACACUGCGCCAGUCUUUUGGCCUAUAACCGUCGUACCGUUCUACCUAAAGGUGUUUACAGCUGAUCAACAUUUAAAACGAACUUUCCAUUUCUUAACUGUGUCCUCUACAAGUGCAGGAUAACGCAAUCAGACACACACACUACCAGUAACUGGCAUUAGUAUGAACCAUACAAAUAUAAUAAUGUAUAAUAAAAAUAUAUUUAUUCUUUUGACGUGUUGUUGAUAAUAUUGGUAGAAGCUACAGAGUUUUAAGUCGGAAAUACUCGAGGGGACUCGGUUCCUUUGUCUCAAACGACAGUUAACAAGCGUUCUCUUUAAAAUUUAUUCGAAAUAUAAGUCCAUAAUUUAAAGAUAAUAUUUUAAUUUACAUUUCUUUUUAUACAAUCUGCGUUGGACAUCCCCACUUAAAUCAAAUUUCAAUUAAAAUAAAUGAUAUAUUAAUCACGGCGACCAGAACAAGCCGACCUGGUCUACUGGUGUGAUUUUGGCACCAUAGAAACGCCGCACUUUGCCUGACAAUGGGCCGCAUUAGCCAGUUGAUAUCCACACGCAAAACAAUCAACUGCAUUUACUAUCCAGAUCCUAUGCGACUGGAGAAUCUCAGUCAUUCUGGACAGCCACGUGGUUACGACGAGAACACUGCCAAAAAUGUCACUGUGACCUAAUGUCAUCGAGGCUGCGAAAUGCACACGACUCGGCGGUACACACACCGAUACUAUUCCACACACGUACUGACAUAGGUGCCUAUAGUGACGGGCACGAACACUCCGAAUGUCGUUGGUCAAGCGGCGAGAGGGGUGGCUGAUGAUAAGCUACGUGGAGCAUUGGCCGGACUACUCGUGUAACUUUUUAACAAUUAUUAUUGUUACACGAUUUACGGUAUAUUGUUUGUUGAGUCAACCUUGACUUUUAAUCUAAUAAAAUCAAUUUUUUUUUAAACGUAAAUUUGGAAAUUUGUUUAUAGAUCGUAAUAUUUUGGACGAAAUAAGAUUUGGACCUAUUGUCCUGAAACCGUGUAAUUGUACGAAUAUAGAACGCUUAAAAUAGCAUAUGGGUAAUAAUCCAUUUUGAAUUUUUUUUGAUAAUCCACCUCUUAGAAGCUAAACUACUGUAGUUUUAACAACAGACACGGUAAUAAUAAUAACGAGUUAUGAAAUCUUCUUAGCUUUGCCAAGGAGCUAAAACAACUUUCAUUUAAUUAAAAAUUAGUAUUUCUCAC